RNAcentral lists this ribosomal RNA (301 nucleotides) under uncultured bacterium. Its description in RNAcentral is "partial 16S ribosomal RNA". It matches the Rfam family "Bacterial small subunit ribosomal RNA", at positions 509 to 807 of the family's 1533-position model. The record is from RNAcentral.
CAGCAGCCACGGGAAUACAGAGGGUGCAAGCGUUAAUCGGAUUUACUGGGCGUAAAGGGUGCGUAGGUGGUUAUUUAGGUGAGAUGUGAAAGCCCCGGGCUUAACCUGGGAACUGCAUCUUAUACUGGGUAACUGGAGUGCAGUAGAGGGUAGUGGAAUUUCCGGUGUAGCGGUGAAAUGCGUAGAUAUCGGAAGGAACACCAGUGGCGAAGGCGGCUACCUGGACUGAGACUGACACUGAGGCGCGAGAGCGUGGGGAGCAAACAGGAUUAGAUACCCCGGUAGUCCCUGUCUCUUAUAC